GCGGUGGUAGUAUAGUGGUUAGUAUUCAACGUUGCCAACGUUGGGACUCGGGUUCGAACCCCGGCCGCCGCA
RNAcentral lists this transfer RNA (72 nucleotides) under Candidatus Woesearchaeota archaeon. Its description in RNAcentral is "tRNA-Gly". It matches the Rfam family "tRNA". From Rfam's summary of the family: Transfer RNA (tRNA) molecules are approximately 80 nucleotides in length. Lineage: Archaea; Nanobdellati; Candidatus Woesearchaeota. The record is from RNAcentral.